This 1058-nucleotide ribosomal RNA is filed under the name Amynthas stricosus. RNAcentral describes it as "partial 12S ribosomal RNA". The record is from RNAcentral. Lineage: Eukaryota; Metazoa; Annelida; Clitellata; Crassiclitellata; Megascolecidae.
AUAACUCGAUAAUCCACGCAUACCCAACCUUCUCUAGAUACUUCAGCAUGUGUACUGCCGUUGUAAGCAUACCUUUAAAAGAACAAGUAUGCUACUAUGAUUAACUAAUUAACUCAUAUACAUCAAGUCAAAGUGCAGCUAAUAAGAAGGUGAUGAUGGGUUACAACCCCAAAAUAGACUAUCAACUAAGAAAUAAAAAAUCUUACGAAAGUGGACUUGGCCGUAAUCAAUUUACAAGUUAAAGGAAUGAAUAAAAAUCUAAGACAUGUACACAUCGCCCGUCACUCUAUCCUAAAGGUUAGAUAAGUCGUAACAAAGUAGGUGUAAUGGAAAUUGCACCUGUCGAAGUAUAGCAUAUAUAAUGCUUUUUACUUACACUAAAAAUAAAGUUAAAUAACUUGCUUCGCCCAAGAAAAAUAAUCUUAUUAAAUAUAAAAUAAUAAAAACCCCUAACCAAAAUUUAAUUAAUACUAAAGUACAGAACUGGAAAAAAAAACUAAAUAAAAGUAAUUCUUAACAACUGUACCUUGUGCAUUAUGGUUUUACAAGAAAAUUAUUAAAAACACCAAUCCCGAAUUCUAAUUGAGAUGUUAAACUGCUGUUAUGAACCCACUAAUAGCUGUAGAAAAAGCUUUAAAAGACAGUUUAACAGAGGCUACAUACCAUCCGCAUAAGAAUAUAGCUGGUUUUCAACAAAAAUUAUACAUUAAAACAUAUAAUUAUAUUAUAGUGUAAUAUUAUUGAGGAUAAGCCCAAUAAUUUAAGCAAUAAAUAUACCUAUCCAUUUUAUCCAAUAGACCUAAAAUCAGCCAACUAAAAUACUUUACCGUAAUAAAUAAUGAUAAAAUACAUAACAUUAGCAUGCAUAAAAAAGUUGAAAUAAUGGAUUAAUUAUAUAUUUCAUUUCUACUAUGUAAAAAUAAGUAUUAUAAAUCUAUAAUAAUAAAAAUCUAGUAAUAGACAACAUUUAAACAACCAUAAUUAAUUAAGGAACUCGGCAAACCAUUAUUUCGACUGUUUAACAAAAACAUUGUCUCAUGAAUAAAAUAUGAGAUAAU